This 497-nucleotide ribosomal RNA is filed under the name uncultured bacterium. RNAcentral's name for it is "partial 16S ribosomal RNA". It matches the Rfam family "Bacterial small subunit ribosomal RNA", at positions 28 to 507 of the family's 1533-position model. The record is from RNAcentral.
GAUGAACGCUGGCGGCGUGCCUAAUACAUGCAAGUCGAGCGAACAGAUAAGGAGCUUGCUCCUUUGACGUUAGCGGCGGACGGGUGAGUAACACGUGGGUAACCUACCUAUAAGACUGGGAUAACUUCGGGAAACCGGAGCUAAUACCGGAUAACAUUUGGAACCGCAUGGUUCUAAAGUGAAAGAUGGUUUUGCUAUCACUUAUAGAUGGACCCGCGCCGUAUUAGCUAGUUGGUAAGGUAACGGCUUACCAAGGCAACGAUACGUAGCCGACCUGAGAGGGUGAUCGGCCACACUGGAACUGAGACACGGUCCAGACUCCUACGGGAGGCAGCAGUAGGGAAUCUUCCGCAAUGGGCGAAAGCCUGACGGAGCAACGCCGCGUGAGUGAUGAAGGGGUUCGGCUCGUAAAACUCUGUGAUUAGGGAAGAACAAAUGUGUAAGUAACUGUGCACGUCUUGACGGUACCUAAUCAGAAAGCCACGGCUAACUACGUG